Aquila chrysaetos chrysaetos is the source of this 2391-nucleotide RNA transcript. It is a transcript of the gene named KIAA2012 ortholog, with no coding region annotated. NCBI's taxonomy places the organism in Eukaryota, Metazoa, Chordata, Aves, Accipitriformes, Accipitridae. The record is from RefSeq and is a predicted model, not a curated record. The transcript has 3 exons.
AUAGAGGUAUGUAGUAUCUUUUCCUCAGCUAUUCAUCAUCAGUGAGUACACAGCACAACUUGAAGUUGUCUUCAUGUCUCAGGUUUUCAUGCAGAAUUUUUAGACCUCGUAGCACCGGAAUACAUUUCAUUUGGGGUGCUCAUACAGCAGUGGACUGCAGCAGUUGUGGUGAAGUCCUAGUGUGCAAAUCCUGAAGAGAUACAAAUGUUCUCUUAUCAGCAACUCUGAUUAGUAUGUCGGAGCUGCAGAGACUAAAGUCAUGAAGAGCAUCAGACAAAAGUUGGUAAAGGUGGAUUCAGCGUCCAAAACAGAACAACAACAGUAAUAAAGACUGGCAACACCACAAGGCAGAGUGUAACAGUUUACAGAAACUAGAAGAAGAGUGGAGGCGCCAGGAGGAGGAGGCAGCAAAGAAGUCACAAUUACAGAAAGCAGCACAAGAACAUAUUUGGCAGCAGCAGGAGGAUUACAACAGAAAGCUUCUGCAGUUCCAGAAGAAGAGACAGCUAGAGGAACAAGAAUGAACAGGUGGUCUACAGAGAGGCUAAUGCUUACUUUAGCUGCAGAUAAUUCAUCUGAAUGGAUGAUUUCCAGUGAAGGCAUAGAUUUAGCCUGUGCAUCUGCCAUGGCAUUCCUGUGACACUAAGUCCCAAAUUUGAAGUACCUCAGCUGCUCCUCCUCUAUUAAUUAGAUAUGGUAACAAUAGUCCUCUCUUCCAUAGUCCCUGCAGCCUGAAGAAGAGAAAUUCCACAGCCUAGCUACAAUGCAACUGUGCAAGAUGCUAGCAAUAACAGUCAUGCUACAUCAUUUCUUCAUGUUUGCACUAUGUAUCUUUUCUGAAAGCCUGAGUCCCAGUAGCUAUGCAGUUUAAAAAAAAAAAAAAAAAGCCUCUACUUCUAACAAAUAGUUAGAGGAAGGCUUGAAAACCUAAAUGCCAAGCAGAUUUAAAAAAAAUCCAACUACAAUUUAAGACAAACUCAUGUGUUUGAGACAAUAUUAAAUACUUAUAACAUCAGUAUUAUAACAGUAUUUUCUAUUUGUAAUUGAUGAAAAAAAGAUUUCCUAAAUAGCAAGUAUGUGAGCAACUGAUAGUUGUUGGUGAUCUGCUUCUAAGAGGCAGAAAAAUGGAGGCAAAAAGGAACAAUGUGGUUAGAGGAGGAACACCAGCAGCUGGUGGAGAUGGCAGAAGAACACCUGGAGUGUAAAAGAAGAAACUCUGAGAAGACAAGAUAUGAGGCUGAGGAGCAGAUGAAGAAAGAGGAAGAUGGUAGACUAACUCUAGAGGAAGCCAAAACACAAGCAGAGCUUUUAAUCAGGUACAUAGCUAUUAAUCAAAGAGUUAUUUCUUUUCCUCAGUAAUAAUAAUACAUCUUUACACCUAGUGCCAGACUAUACAAAAAUACUUCCGUAGUCAGUUCUAUCAGUGUAGUUAACAUUGAAGAGCAGCAUCUGUACCUCAGGAGUUAGUUAAGCCGCCUUCAAUUCAAACGCCAAGACACAAUGCAGUUCUUUUGCUAUUUAACCAGUUUUCCAAUGAUUCCCCAAAUUCCAUCGACAAUUCAUGUACAUCUUAUCUGUAUUCUUUAACUGUUUUAAACAUUCCCUUACACUACAGAAAGAAACCCAACUAGAUUUCCCCGCACAUCUGAAACUAUAACUACAUUUACACAGUCCAUUGGAGUAGACUCCAGUAUAGCAUGCUUCCAGAAUUCAUUCCUACCAGCACCUCAGAACACAGGAAAUGGAAGUCUGCACACCACAUACUAAAACACUGCAAAUAACAUAACAGACCUUCUUAAGGGAAGCCUAGAUCAAUUUGUCAGGCACAAAGAAGUACUAGGUAUAAAAGGAUACAUGGGACCUACAGCUGAGCAGGAAUAACUAUCUCCUGCUUGCUCUAUUCAUACUGUUGCAACAGGAGAACAUACUGGCCCACAAGAAGGCAUUAGCAUAAGCCAACAUUUUCUUCCCCAACCCAUUCCAAACCUUACUCAAAGCCAGCUCCCGGGGGAAGUCCAAUCUCCUGUCCAGGCUCAGUGCCUCAGAAGGCACUGCACGCACUGUGGCAAAGUCAAAGAAACUGCCAGUGAACCAGCAACGAGCUGAGUGUGUAGGUUUCAAGUCAAAGCACCAGCUUUCUAACCCAAGGAGGAAUUCUGUUCUAUGUCUGCAAUCCACUUUAUUAACACUGUUUGCAGACAAAGAGCUGAUCUGGAACAACAUCUGCAACUCCAACAAGCACUACUAAUAGAAGCUACCAGACUAGAACACAUUCAAGAUGCUCGUUGUCCAUGGGUGUUUUCUUAUUUUCAGCUGCUUGAAAAAACUAGGCCUGAAAACCAUACAAAACAAUAAAUAAAUGCUUUGUGCCAGGAAUGGGUCAUUGUAGUG